This 857-nucleotide ribosomal RNA is filed under the name uncultured bacterium. RNAcentral's name for it is "SSU rRNA". It matches the Rfam family "Bacterial small subunit ribosomal RNA", at positions 524 to 1381 of the family's 1533-position model. The record is from RNAcentral.
UACGGGAGUGGCAAGCGUUAUCCGGAAUUAUUGGGCGUAAAGCGUCCGCAGGCGGUCUGUCAAGUCUGCUGUUAAAGCGUGGAGCUUAACUCCAUUAAGGCAGUGGAAACUGACAGACUAGAGUGUGGUAGGGGCAGAGGGAAUUCCCGGUGCAGCGGUGAAAUGCGUAGAUAUCGGGAAGAACACCAGUGGCGAAGGCGCUCUGCUGGGCCAUAACUGACGCUCAUGGACGAAAGCCAGGGGAGCGAAAGGGAUUAGAUACCCCUGUAGUCCUGGCCGUAAACGAUGAACACUAGGUGUCGGGGGAAUCGACCCCCUCGGUGUCGUAGCCAACGCGUUAAGUGUUCCGCCUGGGGAGUACGCACGCAAGUGUGAAACUCAAAGGAAUUGACGGGGGCCCGCACAAGCGGUGGAGUAUGUGGUUUAAUUCGAUGCAACGCGAAGAACCUUACCAGGGCUUGACAUCCUGCGAAUCUUUUGGAAACAGAAGAGUGCCUUCGGGAACGCAGUGACAGGUGGUGCAUGGCUGUCGUCAGCUCGUGUCGUGAGAUGUUGGGUUAAGUCCCGCAACGAGCGCAACCCACGUCGUUAGUUGCCAGCAUUGAGUUGGGCACUCUAGCGAGACCGCCGGUGAUAAACCGGAGGAAGGUGUGGAUGACGUCAAGUCAUCAUGCCCCUUACAUCCUGGGCUACACACGUACUACAAUGCUACGGACAAAGGGCAGCAAACUCGCGAGAGCUAGCAAAUCCCAUAAACCGUGGCUCAGUUCAGAUCGUAGGCUGCAACUCGCCUACGUGAAGGAGGAAUCGCUAGUAAUCGCAGGUCAGCAUACUGCGGUGAAUACGUUCCCGGGCCU